This 305-nucleotide ribosomal RNA is filed under the name uncultured bacterium. Its description in RNAcentral is "bacterial SSU rRNA". It matches the Rfam family "Bacterial small subunit ribosomal RNA", at positions 332 to 636 of the family's 1533-position model. The record is from RNAcentral.
UUGGCCCUACGGGAGGCAGCAGUGAGGAAUAUUGGUCAAUGGACGCAAGUCUGAACCAGCCAUGCCGCGUGCAGGAAGACGGCUCUAUGAGUUGUAAACUGCUUUUGUACGAGGGUAAACGCAGAUACGUGUAUCUGUCUGAAAGUAUCGUACGAAUAAGGAUCGGCUAACUCCGUGCCAGCAGCCGCGGUAAUACGGAGGAUGCGAGCGUUAUCCGGAUUUAUUGGGUUUAAAGGGUGCGCAGGCGGUCUGUUAAGUCAGCGGUCAAAGCCCGGGGCUCAACCCCGGCCCGCCGUUGAAACUGG